UACGAAGGGUGCAAGCGUUAGUCGGAAUUACUGGGCGUAAAGCGUGCGUAGGCGGUUUCCUAAGUCGGAUGUGAAAGCCCUGGGCUCAACCUGGGAAUGGCACUCGAUACUGGGAAGCUGGAGUGCGGUAGAGGAGGGUGGAAUUCCCGGUGUAGCGGUGAAAUGCGUAGAGAUCCGGAGGAACACCAGAGGCGAAGGCGGCCGACUGGACCUGACCUGACGCUGAGGCGCGAAGGCGUGGGGAGCGAACGGG
This 253-nucleotide ribosomal RNA is filed under the name uncultured bacterium. RNAcentral describes it as "partial 16S ribosomal RNA". It matches the Rfam family "Bacterial small subunit ribosomal RNA", at positions 524 to 776 of the family's 1533-position model. The record is from RNAcentral.